Long non-coding RNA from Mus musculus (house mouse), 730 nucleotides. RefSeq annotates it as predicted gene, 32370. The transcript is spliced from 4 exons. NCBI's taxonomy places the organism in Eukaryota, Metazoa, Chordata, Mammalia, Rodentia, Muridae. The record is from RefSeq and is a predicted model, not a curated record.
GGAUGGGCGUGGCUUCGGGCAAAACUGUUCUGCUCCCCUGAUACCAGGAGGCUCUAGAAGAAGACAUGUGCUGCUCCUUGGAGGUUGGAACUGCCCCCCGCAGUGGCAUCUGUGAAAUGGGUGCCAUCUCACAGCCUUCAGAGUCUGCAUGAUACAAUCAUGAAUUCAACAGUGUGGAUGUGCACACAUGUGCAACACCUGGAGCUUCAGGGACUUCCUGUCAGCAGAAGGUCCUCAAGUCACCACACAGCUAUUCAGUCACCUCCACGGGAACAAGAAGAACACAUUGUGGGGCCGGGCCGUGGGGUGGGAGACACAACAGCGCACUGCCUCUUCUGUUACCAGAAAUGCCUCUGAUCUAAGGAUGCACAGCAACACUGGGCCAGACUGUUGAGGCGUUGUGAAGAGUGAACCCUCCCUGCUCUGCAUCAAAAGGCCUCGGGUCACUGACAUUGGGUUAAAAGGAGGAUGAACAGUCCCCGGAAGCAAAGGAAGAUUCUAGAAAGCACUCCAUUCCUUAAAGACUUCUGGGGAUUAGCAUGCUACCCGUUGACUUCCAUCCUCUGCCUUUACAUCCCUCUGGACAGUUGGCUUCUUGCAAAAGGAUCUCUGUUCUUCCGAAAGCCACAGAGCUUCUCAGGAUCUGUUUUCUGCGAAAUCAGGGGCGUGGCGCACACAAAUCAAAUCAAAACAGAAAUCAUCACGCCCUGUUAUGGAUCUCAGACACAGU